Molecule: non-coding RNA, 553 nt
Organism: Hydra vulgaris (swiftwater hydra)
Lineage: Eukaryota; Metazoa; Cnidaria; Hydrozoa; Anthoathecata; Hydridae
Source: RefSeq, a predicted model, not a curated record
GCCAAAUAAGUUUGCAAAAUUUAGCAUAAUUCCAAACUGCGAAUUUAUUACACGCAUUUAUGUCAGUUCGCACUUCUGUAGUUUUUGCCUAUUCGUAUUGUUUGCUAACCUGUUUGGCGCACUAAUGCCAAUUUACACUUUUACCAGUUAGCAAGUUUAAAGCUAUAGGUUAUACUAUAGCUUUAAACUUUAGUCCAGAUAAUUCUUUUAACCCAGAUAAUAUUCAUAUAUAUGACUACACUAAUGGUUAGUGUACACUUAUGAUCUGGACUAUAUUAAUGAUUUAUGAAAAAUUCACUCAUGGCCAAAUCUAAUAUGGCAGCUGGAAAAGGCAAAGGAUCUUUUUAGCCUAACUAAGCUAUACAACUUAAUAAAAGUUUGUGCAUCGACUUCUCACGAAUCAUACACAGAGUCGAUUGUCGAUGCAAUAAUUGCUGAUUCGUGAAAACGGGCAACUUUUGCUUGUCUUAAAGUGCCUUAUAUCCAUCGUUAUAAUAUUACUUUGUUUGUAAAUUGUUUUAAAAAAUAAAUUUUAAAAUAACUUUUAAAUAAA